GCAUGAAGCCGGUAUCGCUCGCAAUUGCGGCUCAGCACGCCGCGGUGAAUACGUUCCCGGGCCUUGUACACACCGCCCGUCACACCACGAGAGUUUGUAACACCCGAAGUCGGUGAGGUAACCUUUUGGAGCCAGCCGCCUAAGGUGGGAUAGAUGAUUGGGGUGAAGUCGUAACAAGGUAGCCGUAUCGGAAGGUGCGGCUGGAUCACCUCCUUUCUAAGGAA
This 224-nucleotide ribosomal RNA is filed under the name Enterococcus faecium. RNAcentral's name for it is "partial 16S ribosomal RNA". It matches the Rfam family "Bacterial small subunit ribosomal RNA", at positions 1318 to 1533 of the family's 1533-position model. Lineage: Bacteria; Bacillati; Bacillota; Bacilli; Lactobacillales; Enterococcaceae. The record is from RNAcentral.